RNAcentral lists this long non-coding RNA (2616 nucleotides) under Panax ginseng (ginseng). RNAcentral describes it as "long non-coding RNA (PGIN_LNC005974)". The record is from RNAcentral. Lineage: Eukaryota; Viridiplantae; Streptophyta; Magnoliopsida; Apiales; Araliaceae.
GCCAAGCUAAAUGAACUGAGUCAUCAAUCUAAUAAGCAUGAGCUGGAAUGCUCAACUACAUCUAGCAAGAGCUGGCAUAUUAUUAUGACCCCAAGGAUUCAACAAGGAGCAAGAUAUGGCAGUCUUAUAUAAACAAAAUUUUCAGUUUCAAUUUCCUUCAUUUAGCCUAACUCUUGAUACACUGCACUUUCAAAUUGGAAUUGAGUUGUUGAGGAAUAGAAGUUGGAAGUUAAAGGAGAUUGGAAUCAUCCUAAAUCAAGAGGUAAGGAAUACAUCUGGUCAUUAUUUUAUUAGAUAAAGGUUAUACAUGAAAGGGGUAUAUGGCUAUGAGUAUUAGAUGGUGUGAUUGAUUGAAAAAUUCUCUGUAUUAGUUUUAUGUUGAUGGAAUUAGUUGUUAGAUGCUCAGAGAAUGAUUAUGAAAUUUGGGAUUAUAGUAUAUUAAAAGCUCUAUAAAACUAAACUUUUAAAUUUUUGCCCACCAAAUAUGUGAUAUAAUGUUUGAAAGAAGUUUACUAUCUAAACCUUUGGAAAUUAGAAGAUACAUAUCAUAUGUAUGUUAAGAAUUGAAGUAGAGUUGUUUCUAAGAGUUCUGAAUUGAUAAUAUGGUGAUUAUAAUUCAUGAUGCCAAGUGUUGGUGUUGGAAAUUCAAAAUAUGCAAAAAACAGUGUCUUGGUCUGUUGUCGAAGUGGCACGACCACGCCACUUCUCAAGGCAAAACCAGCGUGGCCGCACUGGUUCUUAUAAAUUGAAAAAUAAUUAUUUUGGAUUCUAAACUUCUGAACAGGUGUAACAGGGCCAUAUAUGUUUAGGAAGAUGUCUAUUAUAAUGUUCAGAUUGUAUAGGCAUGAAAUGAACUAUUAUAAUAUGAUUUCGAUGACUUUUCAACUAAAGAUUUGAUAUAUAAUUUGAAUAGUGAAUAUAAAGAACCUAACCUAGUUCAAAGGCCUCAAAGUCUAGUAUUUUUGUUCUGUAAUUGGUUGCUAAAGGAUUUUGGGGCAAUAGUGGAUAAGCAGUAUGAAGAAAAUUUCAACUCUAAGCUUAUCAAGGAGUAGCUCGGCCGCGCCACUCUCAAGGCAGACCAGUCAAGACAUUUUUGUUGUGAACUAAAGCUUAAGACCAAUCAUGUAUGAGUGUCUUAAUCAAUCACAAAACAUCAUAGUACUGUUAUUGAUUCAGACAUGUAUUAGCUUUACAAGUAAAAGAUUAUAAGGAAUUCUAAAGAAAUGUCUAAAGGAAAGUAAAUGGUUUUCUAGAAAAAUGAAAACAAAGGUGAAAAAAAAUAUGAGUUAUAUGUGUGUGGCUAUACAUAAAAAGAUAGUGUUAAACCAAUAUUAUUAUAAGUUAUGUAAAGUAAGAAAUGAGAAAGAAGUUCAUGAAAACUCAAUACUAUAUGUAUGAAAUGUAUAUAGUUCAAGUAACUAUGAUUCAUAAGCAUGAUAUGAGUGGUUGACUACUUGACUAGUACCUAUACAUGAAGAAUAUAAUUGUGUAGGAUACGUGAAAAGAGGUUAAGCUAAACUGUAAUUAUUAAGCUACGCAAGAGGCAAGUAUCCUAACUUGUUUUUAAUUAAACAAGUAUGCUGAAGUUUUAUUCAGUUAUAUGUUGAAAGUAUAUCAAUGAUUUGAUAUAAGAAUGCUAUGAUGCAUACUCGUUCAAUUUCAGUAUGCAUGAACAGUUUGAAAGAUAGUUUACGCCAUUUGUUCUGGCUAGAUACAAAUUAAAAUAUUUCAUUUCUUUUACAUUAAGUCUUGAAAUAUUAUUGUUGAUAUGUUUAAGUUGUCCAGCUAUAUUGAUUUAGUGUGAACUCCAGUCUGAGAAUGAACAAUCUCUGAAUUAGGAAGAUUUUAUGAGAGACAAGAAUGUUGAACCCGAAUGUAGUUCUGGAUAAGAUAGUAUUAAUCAAUACAUGACAUAAAGGGUUGAUCACUCACCGUGACUGUAAGAUAAGACGGUUCACAGAUGAAUUUAUGAUACAACCUUUUCAAGAAAUGAAAAUGAAUGUUUAUGGUCUUGUGACCACUCAGCAAUUCAAAAGUUGUUAUGUUGUUUCAAGAAUGCAAAUUAGUCGGGAUUUGUUUCAAUGGCUUUACAGUCUUGAUUUACUGUCAAAGCAUAUCUUCAAAAAAAUAUUUAUUUCUUGUUAUGAUUUAUGAAUUGCUAUUACUUAUUGAGCAAUUGAAUACUCAUUCUUGCUUGUUAUAAAUGUUUUCAGCUAAACAAGAUCGAAUAGAAGGUUCAGGAAAGAAUAAAAGAAAAAAUGGAAAGUUGUUGAGUAACUGGAAUUCUAUGUAAUAGAUAGUUUUUAUGUUUGUAAAUAUUUUAACUAUCAUGUAAUAAGCACUUAAAUGUCUUCGUACCUAGGGUAGAAAAAUACUGGUAUAAUAACUUACGUAUUUGAUAAUUUUAUAUGUUUGAACGAUUGUAUCGUGGAGUACCGAAUAUGAGUUUUAAGUACUCAAAUUUGAGGGCGUCACAUCUCAGCUAAAAAUUCUUCUUGAGUUAUCCUUUUUAAAAAAGAGUAUUAAUCAAAUCGAAAUACAUGUAAUUAAAAUAAGUUUCAAUCGAAAGGAGGCGUGCCCCACAAUAAACAAAGGAAACUAAAUGGUUCUUUCGUU